Molecule: non-coding RNA, 1422 nt
Organism: Paramisgurnus dabryanus
Lineage: Eukaryota; Metazoa; Chordata; Actinopteri; Cypriniformes; Cobitidae
Source: RefSeq, a predicted model, not a curated record
CGUGUCUCUUCGCGUUAAACGAUCGCAGAACGAUUUAUUUCUCUUUUUCACCUCGAUCUUUGGCCUUGUGUGAUUUACCAAAACCAACAUGUGAAGUUACAACGCUGACGAAGGAGUUUCAUCAGUAGAGUGUGUCCUGGUAAAUGUGUGCUCGGAAACAUGCAGAUUACAGUAUUUACAGAGCCGACCUUGAGGCACCCACUGAUUGAUAAUCUGUUUACCUAAAAACAGCACACCACAAUCCAUGUUUACCAGCUGUGAAAGUGCAGGCCAAAAAUCUUCCUUCACCUGUGGGCCUCUACCCACAUGUAGAUAAGCACUUCAGGAGAAACCUGCCUGUGAUCUGCUAAGAUGCACAGAUUCAACUCUGGCCCAUUGUCAUCCCAACACCUCAUCUGCCAUCAGUUUCGUUUAGUGUCGGUCUAUUGCAAAAGUUCUUAUAAACUUUAAAUGAGACUUUGUGUUAAGCAGGGGUUUCCAAACUUUUCAUUCCACAACAUAUUAAGCCCAGGAUACACAGCAGGAUUUUUGCAAUCCAAUAAGACUUUAUCACACUGUGUGACAAGGAUUGUUUAAACUUCAGCAGUAGACUGUCGAUGAAGACACCUAUUGCAUCUGAAGCUGCGACAUCUGUCAUCAGCAUGCGCUAGUGGUAAACAAAUACAGGUUUGCAGAUCGUAGAAGCAAACACAUUGUUGAUGUGCGAUGAUCAUGCUGAACUUCUUACACUGUCAUAAAACUAUCGUAGGUGACUUUGGUCCAAGGACUGGGAAAACAGACGUCUUUAAACCUCUCACACUGUAUGAGAUAGGACCACCAAUUAAGAGCCACGAUCACAGAAAUCUCCACGAUUGUUUCACGAUUGGUAAUCUUUCAUCUGGGACAGCCAAAAAUCGUGCCGUGUAUUAUGGGCUUUAGACAGGUGUAAUCUUAUAGUAUAUCAAAACCAUUGCUAAUAAUUAAUUGGACAAACCAUCACUACAAUGCAACACUCACUAUCUUACGGUGCGACCCACAAGUGGGUCUUCACCCACAGUUUAAAAACCCUGAGUAUGAGAAAGAGUAUGUUGUAUUGUAAUUAAAGUCACAUCUAAGCGUUAUGGAACAGUUUGUCAUUAUAUUCACAGUAUUACAUGGUUCUUUCAGCAGUUACUACGUUACAGUGCUCUUAAAGUGUCCUGAUCAGCUUUGGGUCUUGUGAAGUAAUGUAAUGAGAACUUGAUCAAUAGCUUUGCAGUAUUUUGUUACACUGUGGCUGUAAUCAUAUUAACACAUAGGUUAAACAUUUUAUUCAAAUUUGGUAAACAAACUAGUCAAUAUAAUUCAUGCUGUGAUGCUGGAUUAAACCUGGUCAAAUGAUUGUGUAUUGUGUUUUCAAUUUUUUAUGAGGUUUCUUCAUCUAUAUAAACAUUCUCAAUAUCA